GAUGAACGCUGGCGGCGUGCCUAAUACAUGCAAGUCGAGCGAACGGACGAGAAGCUUGCUUCUCUGAUGUUAGCGGCGGACGGGUGAGUAACACGUGGAUAACCUACCUAUAAGACUGGGAUAACUUCGGGAAACCGGAGCUAAUACCGGAUAAUAUUUUGAACCGCAUGGUUCAAAAGUGAAAGACGGUCUUGCUGUCACUUAUAGAUGGAUCCGCGCUGCAUUAGCUAGUUGGUAAGGUAACGGCUUACCAAGGCAACGAUGCAUAGCCGACCUGAGAGGGUGAUCGGCCACACUGGAACUGAGACACGGUCCAGACUCCUACGGGAGGCAGCAGUAGGGAAUCUUCCGCAAUGGGCGAAAGCCUGACGGAGCAACGCCGCGUGAGUGAUGAAGGUCUUCGGAUCGUAAAACUCUGUUAUUAGGGAAGAACAUAUGUGUAAGUAACUGUGCACAUCUUGACGGUACCUAAUCAGAAAGCCACGGCUAACUACGUGCCAGCAGCCGCGGUAAUACGUAGGUGGCAAGCGUUAUCCGGAAUUAUUGGGCGUAAAGCGCGCGUAGGCGGUUUUUUAAGUCUGAUGUGAAAGCCCACGGCUCAACCGUGGAGGGUCAUUGGAAACUGGAAAACUUGAGUGCAGAAGAGGAAAGUGGAAUUCCAUGUGUAGCGGUGAAAUGCGCAGAGAUAUGGAGGAACACCAGUGGCGAAGGCGACUUUCUGGUCUGUAACUGACGCUGAUGUGCGAAAGCGUGGGGAUCAAACAGGAUUAGAUACCCUGGUAGUCCACGCCGUAAACGAUGAGUGCUAAGUGUUAGGGGGUUUCCGCCCCUUAGUGCUGCAGCUAACGCAUUAAGCACUCCGCCUGGGGAGUACGACCGCAAGGUUGAAACUCAAAGGAAUUGACGGGGACCCGCACAAGCGGUGGAGCAUGUGGUUUAAUUCGAAGCAACGCGAAGAACCUUACCAAAUCUUGACAUCCUUUGACAACUCUAGAGAUAGAGCUUUCCCCUUCGGGGGACAAAGUGACAGGUGGUGCAUGGUUGUCGUCAGCUCGUGUCGUGAGAUGUUGGGUUAAGUCCCGCAACGAGCGCAACCCUUAAGCUUAGUUGCCAUCAUUAAGUUGGGCACUCUAAGUUGACUGCCGGUGAUAAACCGGAGGAAGGUGGGGAUGACGUCAAAUCAUCAUGCCCCUUAUGGUUUGGGCUACACACGUGCUACAAUGGACAAUACAAAGGGCAGCGAAACCGUGAGGUCAAGCAAAUCCCAUAAAGUUGUUCUCAGUUCGGAUUGUAGUCUGCAACUCGACUACAUGAAGCUGGAAUCGCUAGUAAUCGUAGAUCAGCAUGCUACGGUGAAUACGUUCCCGGGUCU
This 1372-nucleotide ribosomal RNA is filed under the name uncultured bacterium. Its description in RNAcentral is "bacterial SSU rRNA". It matches the Rfam family "Bacterial small subunit ribosomal RNA", at positions 28 to 1381 of the family's 1533-position model. The record is from RNAcentral.